UACGGAGGAUGCGAGCGCUAUCCGGAUUUAUUGGGUUUAAAGGGUGCGCAGGCGGCGUGUCAAGUCAGCGGUAAAAUGUCGGGGCUCAACCCCGGCCGGCCGUUGAAACUGGCGUGCUCGAGUUGGAGAGAAGUAUGCGGAAUUCGUGGUGUAGCGGUGAAAUGCAUAGAUAUCACGAAGAACCCCGAUUGCGAAGGCAGCAUACCGGCUCCACACUGACGCUGAGGCACGAAAGCGUGGGUAUCGAACAGG
Molecule: ribosomal RNA, 252 nt
Filed under: uncultured bacterium
Lineage: Bacteria
Description: partial 16S ribosomal RNA
Rfam family: Bacterial small subunit ribosomal RNA
Source: RNAcentral